GCCAGGCAUGGUGGCUCAUGCCUGUAAUCCCAGCACUUUAGGAGGCCGAGGUGGGUGGAUCACUUGAGGCCAGGAGUUCAAGACCAGCCUGGCCAACAUGGUGAAACCCCAUCUCUA
Homo sapiens (human) is the source of this 117-nucleotide non-coding RNA. It matches the Rfam family "Metazoan signal recognition particle RNA". From Rfam's summary of the family: The signal recognition particle (SRP) is a universally conserved ribonucleoprotein. It is involved in the co-translational targeting of proteins to membranes. The record is from Rfam. NCBI's taxonomy places the organism in Eukaryota, Metazoa, Chordata, Mammalia, Primates, Hominidae.